UACAGAGGGGGCAAGCGUUGUUCGGAAUUACUGGGCGUAAAGGGCGCGUAGGCGGCCUGUUAAGUCGAACGUGAAAUCCCCGGGCUCAACCCGGGAACUGCGUCCGAUACUGGCAGGCUUGAAUCCGGGAGAGGGAUGCGGAAUUCCAGGUGUAGCGGUGAAAUGCGUAGAUAUCUGGAGGAACCCCGGUGGCGGAGGCGGCACUCUGGGCCGGAACUGACGCUGAGGAGCGAAAGCGUGGGGAGCGACCAGG
Molecule: ribosomal RNA, 253 nt
Filed under: uncultured bacterium
Lineage: Bacteria
Description: partial 16S ribosomal RNA
Rfam family: Bacterial small subunit ribosomal RNA
Source: RNAcentral